ACAUCCAGAGAACUUAGCAGAGAUGCUUUGGUGCCUUCGGGAACUCUGAGACAGGUGCUGCAUGGCUGUCGUCAGCUCGUGUUGUGAAAUGUUGGGUUAAGUCCCGNAACGAGCGCAACCCUUAUCCUUUGUUGCCAGCGGUUCGGCCGGGAACUCAAAGGAGACUGCCGGUGAUAAACCGGAGGAAGGUGGGGAUGACGUCAAGUCAUCAUGGCCCUUACGGCCAGGGCUACACACGUGCUACAAUGGCGCAUACGAAGAGAAGCGACCUCGCGAGAGCAAGCGGACCUCAUAAAGUGCGUCGUAGUCCGGAUUGGAGUCUGCAACUCGACUCCAUGAAGUCGGAAUCGCUAGUAAUCGUAGAUCAGAAUGCUACGGUGAAUACGUUCCCGGGCCUUGUACACACCGCCCGUCACACCAUGGGAGUGGGUUGCAAAAGAAGUAGGUAGCUUAACCUUCGGGAGGGCGCUUACCACUUUGUGAUUCAUGACUGGGGUGAAGUCGUAACAAGGUAAGCGUAGCGAG
RNAcentral lists this ribosomal RNA (525 nucleotides) under uncultured bacterium. Its description in RNAcentral is "bacterial SSU rRNA". It matches the Rfam family "Bacterial small subunit ribosomal RNA", at positions 984 to 1509 of the family's 1533-position model. The record is from RNAcentral.